This 69-nucleotide transfer RNA is filed under the name Muscidifurax similadanacus. RNAcentral describes it as "tRNA-Lys". The record is from RNAcentral. Lineage: Eukaryota; Metazoa; Arthropoda; Insecta; Hymenoptera; Pteromalidae.
CAAUUAAUAUCUUAAAUAUAAAGAGUUGAUUUUUUAAAUCAAACAUAGUAAUUUAAAUACUUUAAUUGG